This 503-nucleotide ribosomal RNA is filed under the name Bacillus sp. BS79. RNAcentral's name for it is "bacterial SSU rRNA". It matches the Rfam family "Bacterial small subunit ribosomal RNA", at positions 35 to 522 of the family's 1533-position model. The record is from RNAcentral. Lineage: Bacteria; Bacillati; Bacillota; Bacilli; Caryophanales; Bacillaceae.
GGCAUGCGGGUGCUAUACAUGCAGUCGAGCGGACAGAAGGGAGCUUGCUCCCGGAUGUUAGCGGCGGACGGGUGAGUAACACGUGGGUAACCUGCCUGUAAGACUGGGAUAACUCCGGGAAACCGGAGCUAAUACCGGAUAGUUCCUUGAACCGCAUGGUUCAAGGAUGAAAAGACGGUUUCGGCUGUCACUUACAGAUGGACCCGCGGCGCAUUAGCUAGUUGGUGGGGUAAUGGCUCACCAAGGCGACGAUGCGUAGCCGACCUGAGAGGGUGAUCGGCCACACUGGGACUGAGACACGGCCCAGACUCCUACGGGAGGCAGCAGUAGGGAAUCUUCCGCAAUGGACGAAAGUCUGACGGAGCAACGCCGCGUGAGUGAUGAAGGUUUUCGGAUCGUAAAGCUCUGUUGUUAGGGAAGAACAAGUGCGAGAGUAACUGCUCGCACCUUGACGGUACCUAACCAGAAAGCCACGGCUAACUACGUGCCAGAAACCCGCGGUA